This 738-nucleotide ribosomal RNA is filed under the name Hippodamia quinquesignata. RNAcentral describes it as "SSU rRNA". It matches the Rfam family "Eukaryotic small subunit ribosomal RNA", at positions 621 to 1323 of the family's 1831-position model. The record is from RNAcentral. Lineage: Eukaryota; Metazoa; Arthropoda; Insecta; Coleoptera; Coccinellidae.
UAAAAGCUCGUAGUCGAAUUUGUGUCUCGCGCCGUCCGGUUCAUCGUUCGCGGUGUCAACUGGCGUGUCGCGAGACGUCCUGCCGGCGGAUCGUUCGCAAGAACGGUCCAACUGACCCCGCCGCGGUGCUCUUCAUUGAGUGUCGAGGUGGGCCGGCACGUUUACUUUGAACAAACUAAGGUGCUUAAAGCAGGCUGAAAUUUUGCCAGAAUAUUUUAUGCAUGGAAUAAUGAAACAGGACCUCGAUUCUAUUUUGUUGGUUUUCGGAACCUCGAGGUAAUGAUUAACAGGAACGGAUGGGGGCAUUCGUAUUGCGACGUUAGAGGUGAAAUUCUUGGAUCGUCGCAAGACGGACAGAAGCGAAAGCAUUUGCCAAAAACGUUUUCAUUGAUCAAGAACGAAAGUUAGAGGUUCGAAGGCGAUCAGAUACCGCCCUAGUUCUAACCAUAAACUAUGCCAGCUAGCGAUCCGCCGACGUUCCUCCGAUGACUCGGCGGGCAGCUUCCGGGAAACCAAAGCUUUUGGGUUCCGGGGGAAGUAUGGUUGCAAAGCUGAAACUUAAAGGAAUUGACGGAAGGGCACCACCAGGAGUGGAGCCUGCGGCUUAAUUUGACUCAACACGGGAAACCUCACCAGGCCCGGACACCGGAAGGAUUGACAGAUUGAGAGCUCUUUCUUGAUUCGGUGGGUGGUGGUGCAUGGCCGUUCUUAGUUGGUGGAGCGAUUUGUCUGGUUAAU